This 489-nucleotide ribosomal RNA is filed under the name uncultured Ascomycota. RNAcentral's name for it is "eukaryotic LSU rRNA". The stretch from base 142 to 295 matches the Rfam family "5.8S ribosomal RNA". Lineage: Eukaryota; Fungi; Ascomycota. The record is from RNAcentral.
CAUUACCGAGUCUACAACUCCCAAACCCCUGUGAACAUACCAUAUUGUUGCCUCGGCGGUGCCUGUUUCGGCAGCCCGCCAGAGGACCCAAACCCUAGAUUACAUUAAAGUAUCUUCUGAGUCAAUGAUUAAAUCAAUCAAAACUUUCAACAACGGAUCUCUUGGUUCUGGCAUCGAUGAAGAACGCAGCGAAAUGCGAUAAGUAAUGUGAAUUGCAGAAUUCAGUGAAUCAUCGAAUCUUUGAACGCACAUUGCGCCCGCCAGUAUUCUGGCGGGCAUGCCUGUCCGAGCGUCAUUUCAACCCUCAAGCCCCCGGGCUUGGUGUUGGAGAUCGGCGAGCCCUCCGGGGCGCGCCGUCUCCCAAAUAUAGUGGCGGUCCCGCUGUAGCUUCCUCUGCGUAGUAGCACACCUCGCACUGGGAAACAGCGUGGCCACGCCGUAAAACCCCCCACUUCUGAAAGGUUGACCUCGGAUCAGGUAGGAAUACCC